GCGGGGUCCGUCAGACCGCCUCAUGCGGUGCGGGGUUAGCGGUGGCGUCGCCGGAGCGGGCGAGCGGCGGCGCGCGAAAUGGCCGCUCCGGCGGCGAGCGGAUCAGCAGAGGAAGCUCGGUGUGGAGAGCUCUAUCCUGCCUCCCUUCCUUAACAGCAGGUUGAAUGAGCAGGCUCACCUUUCGCAAGGAAUGAGAUAGUUCUGUCAAGUCUGAGCUGCUGAGCUUGGAUUGAGCAUGCAAGCAUAGAUUUUGCAGAAGACUUGCAGCCACAUAUUUGUAUCUGUCAUCUUGGAUCAUGGCAGUGAGCUCUCUAAUGAAUGAAUAUCCUGGUUCUUUCAACAUUGCUGAGCAAUUGUUGAUACUUUCCAUCGCUAGCAUGGCUAGUGCUUGACCAGCCGUUAUUUGUAGCGACCGGUCGGAAUUUGUGUUUGAUGGUGGAUGUUGUGCAAGAAAUGCCUGGAUCAACCUGCUAAUGAUCACUCGGGUUGAACCUAUCUCCUGACUUGUGUUUCCAUCAUCGGCAAGGUUUCUAAGGAUCUCUGCUGCCAGCUUCUUAUGUUCUUGGCUGCCUUCAAUGUCACCCAAGAUUUCUGCCAGGUUUCUCAACAGGAAGGGAUGAUCUGACAUCUUCUGCCGAAGUGUUAUACCAAUUUCCCCACCAGUGUUUGAGAGCUUUGUCAGCAACUUCAGUGAUGAACCUUUCAGUAUUUUUGGCUGCGUCUCGUUAGUGUACCCUAUAAUCUUCUGGAUGAGGUCUCUUGCUCUGCUGAUUUCCGCACAGUUGUCAGGAUCACAUUCUGCAAGUGUCUCUAGGAUUGACAUUCCCAGUACAGGAAGGAGAUCAUGCUCUAUGAAUGUCUUCUCCUUUGGAAUUUUUUUGUGCUUUGAAAUCAAUUGCCAGCAACCAAGCAUCCAGGAGUUCAGUCGGUUGUUGUUAUGAGGAUGAUCUUGGUCAAUAUGCUCUUGGCCAUCACCUGUGUCCACAAUCGUACCUUCUUUUCCCUCCUGGCUGUAAUAUGUGUAAAGUAGCGGAUUUCGUCGUCUCAAUUGGUUUUCGGUGUCCAGAAGUGAAGAUAUGUUCUGCAUUGACCCAGGGAUACCAAUAACUUGGAGGCUCCUUGAAAGCUCGACGAUGACCUUUGUGGCAAGCAAUCUGACUUGUGCAUCCUCUGGACUUGUCCAGCCCAACAUGGUGAUUAGUGUGUUCAAUGUCUCUGUGGAGGUGGUGAGUCUCAAGAGCAGAAGUGCCUUGGUGCGCUUUCUUUUCAGAAAGCUGUGCAGCAUUUGAAUCCCAUAGAGCUGGUUGCUGGGUGAGUUUGAGUUUGUGAAAUCCAUGGCGAAGCUGGUCAGUUCCAUGAUCCUUGGAGCAAGCGCACCUCCGGAAACACAUUGCUCGAAUAUGUACGAAUAGUACAUGUCAACACAUUUCCUUCCCCACUUCCGUCUGAACCUGCUUUGACGAACUAAGUGUAUCUUGGGGAUGAAUGAAAACAUCUCGAGAACACAUGCCACAAUAUAGAGUGCCCCUUGGGUAAGGACUAUUACAUAGAAGACGUCAAGAGAGAACUUGACAUUUUUCUUGGUAUCUCCUAAAGUACCGUCAGGAUAUGCAUGUUCUCUGGUGCAAUUCUUCGGAAUGCCGAUAUAGAUACCUGAUGUUCGCUGCGUCACUGCUGUCAAAAUACUUUGGACACAGAUGACCGUUGUUGGUUGUAUCAUUGCUAUCACAACACGUGCGACCGCUGCUGGUAUCUGCAAGUUGCCAAAUGACUCUAAUACCAAAGCAAAUAUCAGGAAGAAGGCCAUUGGUGCUACUAUAUAGGCAGAGUCCGAAAACAGGUAUCCCAAUAUUGCUAUUACAGCGCACAUGCACAAGAACAGAAUCACUGGAUGCAAGAAUGACAUCUUGUGGCCACAAGGACUAUUCACUAGUGAGGUUAUGCAUCGAAAUUGCAACUUGGUUAUUGUCACUAUGAUCACUGCCGUGAGGAGCAAUGCGAAAUAUUCCUUUAAUCUAGGCAAUCUGUCUGGAUGGGGUAUUGAUGUUUCCAGGAACAGACAGGGGACCAACAAUAGGAUUGCAGCCAGGGGACUCCAUAGUGAUACAGCUCUGAGUUGUGGGUCGCCGAACAGCUUAAGGAUCACUGGGCAUACAAGCUUGGCAACUACAAACAGGGACAUGGUCAUACCCAGGAUUAUAAACGGUGUUACCUUUACCGGACCUAGAUGAUAGACUGGAGUUGGGCUCCAUCGGAACUUUGCCAAUCUGAAAUUUGCAAAUCUGAACUUUGCCAUGACGAUUACCAUGGCCUCAGUCAUGCAUACAAUCAGAACCAAUCUGAUCAGGCGAGGACGCCUGAAAGCUCCCCUUGUCCUGAAGAAGAACUGGAGAGCCAGCAGCGUCGCGCAAUUGAACUCCCGUACGGUGAGCAUCGUCGAGAAGCCGCCGAGGAUGACGACUGUUGCCCAUGUGAACACCAGCGUGCCUAGGCCGUUGCCGGCCCUCUCUAUGAACGCGAUGAUGCGGACGAAGCGGUUCAGGUGCUUCUCCGGCGGCGCUGGCGCCGCCUUGCACCGUCGCCCAGUAGCUGCGGCGACGGCGGCUGGGCGCGCCAUCUUUCUUCAACGAUUUUUUUGCAGUUUGCCGCGCGGCGGCUAGCUCAACCUCCAUGCUUUUACAAUGAUAUAUAGAGCAAGGAUUACAGAGAGAGAGAGAGAGAUGGCGCGGUACGUAUCAACACACAGUUGACUGUACUUCACGAUCGGCUGCACGAUUGGUUCGUCGGGCCGCACGAAGGACGCGAGUACGCGACGCCGGAGAUGAGGAAGACGGUGGUCGUAGCCGCCGCUGCCGCCACCGCCGCCGGGGAGGCCGACGCGGCUACUGCGGCGCCACUUGGUCAAUCUGCUCAUCACACUUGGUCAUAGUGCCACGUGCAAAUUGCAGACUUUUGGUGUACUGAAAUGCAUUUGACUAGCUGUUCGCCAGGAGAUGAAAUUGAGCAACCUUUAGCUGAAAUAUAUGACUAGGAAAAAGACAACUAAUUAUGGAAAAUGAAUACAACGCAUCUGCGUAAUUAGGGUGCUUUGGAAAGUAAGUUUUAGUUUGGAACUUUUUUAUAUGUAAAACGAGAUAAGUUAUUAUAGUAUGAUUAAUUGAAUAUUAAUUUUUACAAACUUAAAAA
This is a long non-coding RNA of Oryza sativa Japonica Group (Japanese rice), 3186 nucleotides long. RefSeq lists it as uncharacterized. Lineage: Eukaryota; Viridiplantae; Streptophyta; Magnoliopsida; Poales; Poaceae. The record is from RefSeq and is a predicted model, not a curated record.